RNAcentral lists this long non-coding RNA (2611 nucleotides) under Homo sapiens (human). RNAcentral describes it as "HSALNT0100048". Lineage: Eukaryota; Metazoa; Chordata; Mammalia; Primates; Hominidae. The record is from RNAcentral.
GCCGGACUCUGCAUGAGUCACCGCCUGCCUGCAAGCCCAGAGCUCGCCGCACCCCCCUGCCUCUCCGCACCGUCCCACAGGCUGUGACCCUCCACCCAGCCAUAGACGGUUCUGCUCUUGGCACAAAGGAGGGCUUCUUAGCCGGGAAUAUGGCUGCCCGGGAGGGGCGACUUCUGUGCUUGUUUUUCCUUCCUGGCACUGAAAACAAGCACAUCCACCCAACAAAUAAAGACGCGGUCAAUGAAAGCAGCUGUGUUUCAAGGGGAGACAGGGAGCAAGCCAAGGAAUAAAUGAAAAGACCCAGUGACAAAAUGCCCAUUCAUCGGGUUCACUCGGCAAACAUUUACUGAAGCAUCUGUGUGCCAGGCACUGUCCUGAGUGCUGGGAAGACACAAAGAUGCCCUUCAGAACGAUGACCCCCGCCUCGCCCUCCGCUGGAACCGGGAGGCAGACACACACAUAAAUACGACACAGUCAACCGUCCCCAGUUCACAGCAUCUAAAGGAGCUAGGAAUGCAUGGGAUGCUUAUGGAAUGUGCGAGAACACGGAGAAAAGAGGAAGGUAUGGAAAAGAGUGAAAUUGGCAUAAAAAAUCCAAUAAAGGGCAACGAGCAGGAAACAACAAAAACAUGGGAAACUGCCGACCUGAGGAAUCGCGCUCUUCUAACUUUACAGCUUCACCUGCCGUGUUUGCUCCUGGAGGACUGAGACUUUUGUCUGAUUCGUCUGCUGCUGUCUUCCCGAUGCCUAGAACACUGCCUGAUGCACGGGAAGUAUUUGUCAGAUACAUCCCAUGGCUUCUAAUGCCAUUUGCAAGGAUGAAAGCUGGGUGUGCCCGGCUGUACGGCAAUACUUCCAAAGGCCUGUAGGACUCCCCAGUGACUGUCCCAUUCACCAGGAGGAGGACUGCAGUCACCUGCAUUGUCCUGGGAAGGUCAGCCAGGCCUUUUCCCAAUGUCUGUCUGGGAAAAGCCCCGGUGUAGUCUGCUCGGUCCUACACCCAGAAUCACGGGGGCUUCAGGAGCAGGCAUUACGAGGCAAGGAGUAGCUUCUCCCCCUCACCUCCCACUCAGCAGAACGCACUAGCCCUGUGCUCUUCUGAUCCUGAAGGCAGCUGAGUCUGAAAAGUUCCUGUACCUUUAAAGGUACUAGAGGCAGUGUGGUGCCCACUCAGGAACUGCAUGAUUUAAAUAGGUUUCUAGGAUAAAGGCAACUCGUAGCACAAAGGAACAAGUCCCAGGGAGUGGCAUUCCAGAUCAUUUGAUUCCUGAGCGAAGGAAUUAUUAUGGUGUGGAGGUGGGGACCUCCUUACUACAUUCCAAAUUGCAAUAAGGUUGUAAGGGUUUUCUCUUCCAUUCUGAAGUACUUUGACAAUAGUUUUGAACUUCAAAAAUGUUUAUUAAAGGUGUUUUCACAGCAGUUUCAUAAUGUUUAAUUUGUUAAUUACUGGAAUUGAUGCUAAAUAAAACAGGCAAGUAAUACUUCAGAUGGCUUCAUCUUCAGAGUCUUCUUCAUGUGUGACUCAAAAUGCACAAUUUUGGCCGGGCACAGUGGCUCACGCCUGUAAUCCCAGCACUUUGGGAGGCUGAGACAGGCGGAUCACCUGAGGUCAGGAGUUUGAGACCAGUUUGGCCAACAUGGUGAAACCCCAUCUCUACUAAAAAUACAAAAAUUAGAUGGGCAUGGUGGUGUGUGCCUGUAAUCCCAGCUGCUUGGGAAGCUGAGGCAGGAGAAUUGAUUGAACCCAAGAGGCGGGGCUUGCAGUGAGCCGAGAUCCCGCUCCAGCCUGGGCAACAAGAGCGAGACUCCGUCUCAAAAAAAGAAAAAAAAAGCACAAUUUCAGGACAGCCUAAGCAAAUAAAAAAUGGGAAAUGGAAAUGGAUUCGAAGCAGGGAGGACGUUCCGCCCACUGUCACACCGAAGGAAUGGUGGAGGCUGUGAGUCCUCCGCCCACUGUCACACCGAAGGAUGGUGGAGGCUGUGAGUCCUCCUGUAAGCCGCCGCUGGAGAAGGGGCAGCUCUGGAACCUGACGACAUUCUCCUAUCUUGCAUGAGGUGGAGACAAAGAGUCCUUCUGCGCUGGGACAGGAUGAGGGCGAAGUGGUGACUUCAGGUCAGAAGCAGAGCCUUGGGGACCUCUGAUUCUCAAGGGCGAGCUCCCUCCAGAACCCCAAGAGAUGGCCCUGACUGCAUGGGAAAGCGUGUCUCACCAUUGCAAUGUUCUCUAAGUCUGGAGGAGGCGGAGCCCAGUGAGAAUGACAGGCAGACCGCAAGGAGGCCCGGAAGCCCCCCAUGGCGAGGAUGCAUCCAAGUGUAUUCUGUAGGAGUGACCAGUGGCCACGUGGGUAGUGGGCAGAGCUUGUUUUCCUCCAAUAUCAGCGUACAGAGCAGGGGAGCCUGGUGAAGGUUUCUCUCUGAAAUCAUGGAUUCAGCUGUAUUAGUUUCUAUCCAAGGCUGGCAUAGCUCACCUUCCACUCCAGCAAUGACCUCGGGCCAGCUGUCACGAGCCUUCUCACCACGAGGAUGGUCUGGGGUGGUGAGAUCUCACUGUUGGCCAUAAUUCAUUCAACAUUUCUUCACUUCUCUGCUUAAUUUUGGUCGAAUGUCAUGC